GAUGAACGCUGGCGGCGUGCCUAGUACAUGCAAGUCGAGCGAACAGACGAGGAGCUUGCUCCUCUGACGUUAGCGGCGGACGGGUGAGUAACACGUGGAUAACCUACCUAUAAGACUGGGAUAACUUCGGGAAACCGGAGCUAAUACCGGAUAAUAUAUUGAACCGCAUGGUUCAAUAGUGAAAGACGGUUUUGCUGUCACUUAUAGAUGGAUCCGCGCCGCAUUAGCUAGUUGGUAAGGUAACGGCUUACCAAGGCAACGAUGCGUAGCCGACCUGAGAGGGUGGUCGGCCACACUGGAGCUGAGACACGGUCCAGACUCCUACGGGAGGCAGCAGUAGGGAAUCUUCCGCAAUGGGCGAAAGCCUGACGGAGCAACGCCGCGUGAGUGAUGAAGAUCUUCGGAUCGUAAAACUCUGUUAUUAGGGAAGAACAAAUGUGUAAGUAACUAUGCACGUCUUGACGGUACCUAAUCAGAAAGCCACGGCUAACUACGUG
This 497-nucleotide ribosomal RNA is filed under the name uncultured bacterium. RNAcentral's name for it is "partial 16S ribosomal RNA". It matches the Rfam family "Bacterial small subunit ribosomal RNA", at positions 28 to 507 of the family's 1533-position model. The record is from RNAcentral.